AACUGAUACUACCUGCGGGAACCUGCGGAAGGAUCAUUACAGAGUGUUCUACCCCCUUGUAAAAUGGUGGGUUUAACCUCCCGUCCUUUGCCAGACCCCCCCUUUCGUUGGGGGGCCUUUCAAACCUUUCUGCUUCGGCGGGGUUACCCGUCGGAACACCCUCAAAAAUUCUUGGUCAAAACUGUUCGGUCCGAGAAACUUAUGAAAAUUGAAGCAAAACUUUCAACAAUGGAUCUCUAG
Molecule: unclassified non-coding RNA, 240 nt
Filed under: soil metagenome
Description: partial contains 5.8S ribosomal RNA, internal transcribed spacer 2, and large subunit ribosomal RNA
Source: RNAcentral